GACUUUCGUAUUUUUAGUUUCUAAAAUAUUUUUUUUCCUUGUAGGUUGAUGAUACUUCAUCUACUCGUAGAGAUGAUGAUGCCGACCCUUGAUACAUAUUGUAGAUUGUGUACCUAGGAAUUUGACUUGUAUGUUUUUAGAAUGUUUUUGAAGUACAAUGUAAUCAAAUAUGAUAAUAUGAAUGUAAUCAAAGUUCUUGUUUGUGACUCGUAUUUUGUUAUAUAUGUGAUUCAGUGUAUUUGUUUCUAUUGUUUUGUUAGAAUUUAAUGUACACAAGGUAUUUAAAAAUUACUUU
Molecule: long non-coding RNA, 295 nt
Filed under: Phoenix dactylifera (date palm)
Lineage: Eukaryota; Viridiplantae; Streptophyta; Magnoliopsida; Arecales; Arecaceae
Description: long non-coding RNA (PDAC_LNC019856)
Source: RNAcentral